This is a long non-coding RNA of Anguilla rostrata (American eel), 686 nucleotides long. RefSeq lists it as uncharacterized. The transcript is spliced from 3 exons. NCBI's taxonomy places the organism in Eukaryota, Metazoa, Chordata, Actinopteri, Anguilliformes, Anguillidae. The record is from RefSeq and is a predicted model, not a curated record.
AGACUGGUGAUGAACGCAAAACGUGGACCGUUUCUCAGACGGAAGUCAUUGUGACGUCCCGCUCUGCCUCAUCCCACAGAGCCUGGUGGGGCCGACAUAGCUCAGGAGGUAAACUAACGGGAUUAAAAUCUCGAUCACCAGCCUCUUUGCGCGUCCAGCGGUGAACUUCCCCUCCGAGCCCGUCGGGCGUGGCCCGCGCCUCUGGGUGAGGAUCGCGCGGCGCCGCCCGUUUAGCGUGAUCGCUGGCGCCUGAUGAAACGCCUCGCAUCGGAGUGACAGCCGCCAUUUUGCUCGGGGCCGUCCGAUGGCGGGUACUCCAGAGGUUCAAAUCUUUACCAGUCCUGCUGAAUUACUCACUAAAUAUCCCACUGUGUAGCUGGAAAAUCUGGAUAACGGAAGGGGCCAAGAAUAAGAAUUUUAAAGUGUCUACAGAAGUCAACACCUGCAUGGAAAUGUAGCAAUGUGUGCACGCAAUAUGAUUGUUAAAUUCUUUGCUUCCAAAUUUUUUGAACUUUUUUUUUUGUAUUAUUACUUUGGUUUGUGUGUUUCUGAGGGGGGGUACCUCUCGAUUGGCGCGUUUGCUGGAGUGUUUGAGCAGCUGUGCUAGCCGCUGUGAAUCGGCCCCGCUCUGCUGAAAGCAUUAAGGAAGGCGAAGCAGCCAUUAUGACCCAAUGAGCCGCAGUGCU